AUGGAGGACUGGGAGAAUGAUGAUUUUCAACCAAUCGCACCUGUUGUGAAAGCCCAACCUCUUAAAAGUAACUGGGAAGAUGAAGAUGUGGAUGAAGAUGAUGUCAAAGAAUCAUGGGAAGAGGAGGAAGAGAAACCUAAACCUGUAGAAAAGCCUGCUCCAAAACCUAGUGCUAAAGCUGCUGUGAAAAAAGGCAAACAGCCCUCAACGAGUACUGAAGUAGUGGAAGAUGAUGUUCUUGAUGAUCCUAUUUCAGAGAAGCUUCGCCAACAAAGGCUAGUGGAAGAAGCUGACUUCAAGGCAACAGCAGAGCUUUUUGCAAAGAAGGACGGCAGUGAAAAGUCACUAGAGACUUUCAUCCCGAAGUCUGAGAGCGACUUUGCGGAAUAUGCUGAGCUUAUCGCAAACAAAAUUCGCCCCUAUGAGAAAAGCUUUCACUACAUGGGUCUACUUAAGAAUGUCAUGAGACUUUCCAUGACACCGUUAAAAGGUGCGGAUGCGAAAGAAAUAUCCUCCUCGGUCACGGCAAUUGCCAAUGAAAAGAUCAAGGCUGAGAAAGAAGCUGCAGCAGGCAAAAAGAAAGGAGGAGCAAAAAAGAAGCAGCUCCAUAUAGAGAAAGGAGAGGAGGACUUUGUUGCCGGACCGGGUGCAUCUUUUGAUGAUCCCGACGAGUUCGACUUCAUGUGA
RNAcentral lists this ribosomal RNA (687 nucleotides) under Triticum aestivum (bread wheat). RNAcentral describes it as "partial small subunit ribosomal RNA". Lineage: Eukaryota; Viridiplantae; Streptophyta; Magnoliopsida; Poales; Poaceae. The record is from RNAcentral.